RNAcentral lists this ribosomal RNA (252 nucleotides) under uncultured bacterium. RNAcentral's name for it is "partial 16S ribosomal RNA". It matches the Rfam family "Bacterial small subunit ribosomal RNA", at positions 524 to 776 of the family's 1533-position model. The record is from RNAcentral.
UACGUAGGAUGCGAGCGUUAUCCGGAUUUAUUGGGUUUAAAGGGUGCGUAGGCGGACGCUUAAGUCAGCGGUAAAAUUGCGGGGCUCAACCUCGUCGAGCCGUUGAAACUGGGUGCCUUGAGUGGGCGAGAAGUACGCGGAAUGCAUGGUGUAGCGGUGAAAUGCAUAGAUAUCACGCAGAACUCCGAUUGCGAAGGCAGCGUACCGGCGCCCAACUGACGCUGAAGCACGAAGGCGUGGGUAUCGAACAGG